RNAcentral lists this ribosomal RNA (301 nucleotides) under uncultured bacterium. Its description in RNAcentral is "partial 16S ribosomal RNA". It matches the Rfam family "Bacterial small subunit ribosomal RNA", at positions 509 to 807 of the family's 1533-position model. The record is from RNAcentral.
CAGUCGCCACGGUAAUACAGAGGAUGCAAGCGUUAUCCGGAAUGAUUGGGCGUAAAGCGUCUGUAGGUGGCUUUUCAAGUCCGCCGUCAAAUCCCAGGGCUCAACCCUGGACAGGCGGUGGAAACUACCGAGCUGGAGUACGGUAGGGGCAGAGGGAAUUUCCGGUGGAGCGGUGAAAUGCGUUGAGAUCGGGAAGAACACCAACGGCGAAAGCACUCUGCUGGGCCGACACUGACACUGAGAGACGAAAGCUAGGGGAGCAAAUGGGAUUAGAUACCCCAGUAGUCCCUGUCUCUUAUAC